RNAcentral lists this ribosomal RNA (920 nucleotides) under uncultured Streptococcus sp. RNAcentral's name for it is "partial 16S ribosomal RNA". The stretch from base 1 to 821 matches the Rfam family "Bacterial small subunit ribosomal RNA". The record is from RNAcentral. Lineage: Bacteria; Bacillati; Bacillota; Bacilli; Lactobacillales; Streptococcaceae.
GACGAACGCUGGCGGCGUGCCUAAUACAUGCAAGUAGAACGCUGAAGGAGGAGCUUGCUUCUCUGGAUGAGUUGCGAACGGGUGAGUAACGCGUAGGUAACCUGCCUGGUAGCGGGGGAUAACUAUUGGAAACGAUAGCUAAUACCGCAUAACAGUAGAUAUUGCAUGAUAUCUGCUUGAAAGGUGCAAUUGCAUCACUACCAGAUGGACCUGCGUUGUAUUAGCUAGUUGGUGGGGUAACGGCUCACCAAGGCGACGAUACAUAGCCGACCUGAGAGGGUGAUCGGCCACACUGGGACUGAGACACGGCCCAGACUCCUACGGGAGGCAGCAGUAGGGAAUCUUCGGCAAUGGACGGAAGUCUGACCGAGCAACGCCGCGUGAGUGAAGAAGGUUUUCGGAUCGUAAAGCUCUGUUGUAAGAGAAGAACGAGUGUGAGAGUGGAAAGUUCACACUGUGACGGUAUCUUACCAGAAAGGGACGGCUAACUACGUGCCAGCAGCCGCGGUAAUACGUAGGUCCCGAGCGUUGUCCGGAUUUAUUGGGCGUAAAGCGAGCGCAGGCGGUUAGAUAAGUCUGAAGUUAAAGGCUGUGGCUUAACCAUAGUACGCUUUGGAAACUGUUUAACUUGAGUGCAAGAGGGGAGAGUGGAAUUCCAUGUGUAGCGGUGAAAAUGCGUAGAUAUAUGGAGGGAACACCCGGUGGCGAAACCGGUUCUCUCGCUUGUAACUUGACCCUGAGGCUCCGAAAACCGGGGGGAGCGAACAAGAUAGACAGCCUACUAUUCCUAGGGCGAAGUCCACGCUCGGAUAAUCUGAUGAAACCCAUCCACCUUUAGGGGGGGGGCUUGUGUGUAUGAAUAAUUAUGUUAUAAGAAAGGUAAUCUAAAAAGAAACCUUGCGGGGCUGUCUUCCGGGUUG